AAGUGCAAUUUUUAUAAAAAAUCAUCUAUCAAAAGUUUAAGCAUUCUUAACAUCCACUUUAAAGAAUUAAAAAAAAUUCCAAAAACAAGAGAUUAAAACUUACCUUGACUUUGAGCCAGAUGAAGAAUUUUUGAUGUGACAUAUCUGGC
This is a long non-coding RNA of Phyllostomus discolor (pale spear-nosed bat), 149 nucleotides long. RefSeq lists it as uncharacterized. The record is from RefSeq and is a predicted model, not a curated record. NCBI's taxonomy places the organism in Eukaryota, Metazoa, Chordata, Mammalia, Chiroptera, Phyllostomidae. The transcript is spliced from 3 exons.